This 483-nucleotide ribosomal RNA is filed under the name uncultured bacterium. RNAcentral's name for it is "bacterial SSU rRNA". It matches the Rfam family "Bacterial small subunit ribosomal RNA", at positions 30 to 507 of the family's 1533-position model. The record is from RNAcentral.
AUUGAACGCUGGCGGCAUGCCUUACACAUGCAAGUCGAACGGUAACGGGCCUUCGGGUGCCGACGAGUGGCGAACGGGUGAGUAAUGCAUCGGAACGUACCUUUCAGUGGGGGAUAACGUAGCGAAAGUUACGCUAAUACCGCAUAUUCUGUGAGCAGGAAAGCAGGGGGAUCGCAAGACCUUGCGCUGAUUGAGCGGCCGAUGUCAGAUUAGCUAGUUGGUGAGGUAAAGGCUCACCAAGGCGACGAUCUGUAGCGGGUCUGAGAGGAUGAUCCGCCACACUGGAACUGAGACACGGUCCAGACUCCUACGGGAGGCAGCAGUGGGGAAUUUUGGACAAUGGGGGAAACCCUGAUCCAGCCAUGCCGCGUGAGUGAAGAAGGCCUUCGGGUUGUAAAGCUCUUUCGGCCGGGAAGAAAUCGUAUGGGUUAAUACCCUGUGCGGAUGACGGUACCGGCAUAAGAAGCACCGGCUAACUACGUG